UGAAAGAUAAGCUAAUAUUUAAGCUAAUGGGUUCAUACCCCAUGAAUGAGUAAACCUCUCUUUCAA
Molecule: transfer RNA, 66 nt
Filed under: Somanniathelphusa boyangensis
Lineage: Eukaryota; Metazoa; Arthropoda; Malacostraca; Decapoda; Parathelphusidae
Description: tRNA-Met
Source: RNAcentral